Non-coding RNA from Pocillopora verrucosa, 249 nucleotides. The record is from RefSeq and is a predicted model, not a curated record. Lineage: Eukaryota; Metazoa; Cnidaria; Anthozoa; Scleractinia; Pocilloporidae.
UGUCUUUAACGGUGCAAUAUUGUGGCUUACAAGAAACCAGAGACUCCUCGAUGGGGUAGUUCAGGUGAUUCUCGCGUCAUGUCUGUCACAAAGAAAACCAUGUUCGUGUUUAUUUUUUUAUUGGCUGUUGAAACCGUAAGAAGCAAUCAUUUGGCAUCAAAUACCACAAUUGAUUGUCCAGAACCCUGUGAAUGCAAGUCAGUGGAAGUUAACUGCAGGGGAAAAGAACUUAAAUCAUUUCCACGGAAA